This is a transfer RNA of Clohesyomyces aquaticus, 162 nucleotides long. It matches the Rfam family "tRNA". Rfam says of the family: Transfer RNA (tRNA) molecules are approximately 80 nucleotides in length. Their secondary structure includes four short double-helical elements and three loops (D, anti-codon, and T loops). The record is from Rfam. NCBI's taxonomy places the organism in Eukaryota, Fungi, Ascomycota, Dothideomycetes, Pleosporales, Lindgomycetaceae.
GACAAGAUGGCCGAGCGGUUAAGGCGUGUGACUCGUAAGCCUGCCCCCCGAUUUGGCCUUGAUGCACAUUCUAACCUCCCACCAGAAGUGAAUAACUUGCCAUCUUUGAUGGUUGAUUUCUCAUAGACGUUGUCUGCGUGGGUUCGAAUCCCACUCUUGUCA